GACGAACGCUGGCGGCGUGCCUAAUACAUGCAAGUCGAACGAAGUUUGUUUUAACUGGUGCUUGCACCGACUUAAACAACUGAGUGGCGAACGGGUGAGUAACACGUGGGUAACCUCGCCCCAAAGGUGGGGGGAUAACAUUUGGAAACAGAUGCUAAUACCGCAUAACCACAGAAACCUCAUGGUUUCUGUGUCAAAGAUGGUUUCGGCUAUCACUUUGGGAUGGACCCGCGGCGUAUUAGCUUAGG
This 248-nucleotide ribosomal RNA is filed under the name uncultured bacterium. RNAcentral's name for it is "partial 16S ribosomal RNA". It matches the Rfam family "Bacterial small subunit ribosomal RNA", at positions 28 to 250 of the family's 1533-position model. The record is from RNAcentral.